Triticum dicoccoides is the source of this 1521-nucleotide long non-coding RNA. RefSeq lists it as uncharacterized. The record is from RefSeq and is a predicted model, not a curated record. NCBI's taxonomy places the organism in Eukaryota, Viridiplantae, Streptophyta, Magnoliopsida, Poales, Poaceae. The transcript has 5 exons.
UAUCCAUGUGCCAGAGCCAUGAGUUGGUUGCGAGAUCUUAUGGGUUUUACCUCUAGCCUACCCCAACUUGUUUGGGACUAAAGGCUUUGUUGUUGUUGUUGUUGUUGUUGUUGUUGUGGAUUGCAGUAGCGACCAGGGUGGUGGCGACGACCAGGGCCCCUGCUCCUGGCUGCGCAACAGGAACAAGCGAUUGGCUGCCAAGGGGUGCAGUUGUUGCUCAUCGCCAUCUACCUUCUGUAAUCCCAUCUCCUACAAUCUUCGCGUUUACGAUCACUGUCACCUCCUUUCUUAGUCAGCACGGAGGCAGUUGUGGUUGUCUGAUACGAGGCGAUGGCUGCUGCACCCAAUGCCUUCUCGGCUCAUUUGGAGAAGUAGAUCGUUGAGCAGAUAAAAGAUUCCAUCGUUUUUGUGGAUGUCUUUCCCAACUUGGACUACAAAGACGAUUUGGAAAAUCUUAUGGCUGCGGUGAAAACUGUUCCAGUGAAGAAAAGAGAAGAGGUGCUGAAACAGGGACAAUCUGGCACUGGCUCUGUUGUGGGAGUUACAGAAGAUGAAAUCACCAUCCUAUCAAGUGCCCAUCUCAUUGAGCAUGUCUUCACAGUAUCAAAGCCCAUUUCCGUUCGUGACGCCAAUACAUAUUUCUAUACAAGUGUACUUUGCGAUCACUAUGAGGCUAGUUUCAGUGAACCUGGGCAAAGGAGACAUAGUCAAAGGGUGUAUGGCGCAGCUACAAUUAUUGGCAUAGAUUGUGCACAGGACUUACUCCUCAUCUCUGUCCCACGAGUAAAUAUCAUGAACUUGGCGAGGAAGUGCAAUGCCAAUCAUCCUCCUCUUACCUUCAGUUCAGUCCCCCCCAGUGCAACUUGAUGAGUGUGUUAUGCUCUCGUGGCCUCCAUUGCAGCACCGGACUGUGGUUAAGGGUAGUAUCUGUCACAUGGAAAGAGCACUCUAUGAUUCAGUGAAGGAGGAGAACAACCCUGUUGGGUAUGGGAUGAAUCUCAUGCAAGUAAAUAUCGCGAGUGAGAAAUGGAGCUCUGGAGCUCCACUAUUGGAUGGCAGGGGAAAUGUUAUUGGGAUCCUACAUGGAGGCUUGGGAGGUCCAUUCUCUUACUUUGUCUUGCUCCGUCGCAUACUACCGUUCCUGAGAAAACAUGGCAUAAAUCCGCGUGUGGGGUAGUAAUUUGUCCAUGCUCAUUCCUGUCCAGAGGACAUGCCACUCCCACAGCUAUUGGUGUUUCUUGACAGCAAUGUUGGUUCGACUGCUUCAUUGGCAAGUACAUGCACAAAUGGAGGCCACCCUGCAGCAGUUCAUGAAGUUGCAGCCAAGUUAUCUCUCUGUUGACAAACAUUAUCUUACGUCGCUCUCUGGUUUGAACUCCAUGUUAGGAUAUACUACGUGAUGUUUCUGUCUUAUCUAAACCGAGCUCUGCCUUCUGUUACCAGUUGAGUUUAUGAGUUACGGGGUCCACAGGGCCAACCUUGGGCAUCGAUGCUAUUUUGCUUAAGAUAUACUCCCUCCGU